Molecule: long non-coding RNA, 2002 nt
Organism: Monodelphis domestica (gray short-tailed opossum)
Lineage: Eukaryota; Metazoa; Chordata; Mammalia; Didelphimorphia; Didelphidae
Source: RefSeq, a predicted model, not a curated record
CUCAUUCUCUUUUCUUCACUUCAUAUAUUUCCAUUAUUUUCUUUAUAUUUCUAAUAUGUAUCAUUUCUAACAUAAUACAAUCCAUUACAUUCAAAUGUCACAAUCCAUUCAGCCAUUUCUCCAAGUCAGUGCAUUUGGGUUAUUUCUAGUUGUUUUGUCAUUACAAACAAAACUUGCUGAAUAUUUUCAUACAUACACAGCUUUUUACCUUCUCUAUAAUGCUCUGAGGGCCUAAUCCCAGUAAUGGGAUUCCUAGGUAAAUUAUCAUCAAUAGCUUUACAAGUCUUAAUGUGUAAUUCCAACUUGUUUUCUAAAAAACAAUUCACAGGUGCUCUAGCAUUAUAAUAUUAGGCUUGUUUCUCCAUAUUCUCAUCAGCAUUUAAUUUAAUCAACUUAAACCAUCUUAUCAGUUAACAUACGGGGCUAUAUUUGGCUGAAAUGAUCCUUGUGCACCAGAUACAAUCUUUUGCCAGGAACACAUUCUUUCCUAAACCAAGUUUUUUCAGCUUGGUCAUACCCAGUGGAUAUUUUGUUUCAAUGCCACAAUACCUCAGGACUGCAGGAUUAUGUCCCUGAUAGACAGUUUUCUCUUUAGGAAAUCUCUAUAGCAGUGCUAAUACACAUUCAGUCUCUCUCUCUCUCUCUCUCUCUCUCUCUCUCUCUCUCUCUUCACAAAUACACACUGUACUAGGCACUAUGAAUAAAAAGAGGGUUAUAUAAUAUGCAAUAACUUAGAAUGGAAAGUGGGUAAACCCUUAGUGAAGAGGAAGGAUCAAGAAAAGACAAGUGUAGAAGCUAGAAGCACCAGAGUUGUGUGGACAGAAGCUUGGGAAUCAUAGAGUGAUAGUGCUAGAAGAGACCUUGAGAAAACCUCCUGGCUUCAGAUUAAAGUAGCUUUUGAUAAUUCUAGAGAAAUGAAAUCUCUUUGCAUCUUCAUUAUUAACUUCUUCCCAGAAGUGAAAAGAAUGCAUUUCUUCUCCAGCAAGGAAUCUUGGGCUAUCUAAUUUCUCUUCCACAUUCCCUCUCAUGGCCUCAGCUUCUUAUAUAGAAAGAGGUAGAGAAGAUAGUCUCUAAGAUCCUUUUGAGUAGAAAAGCCUCAGCCCUUCAAUUCAACCCUAUCAUUUUACAUAGAAGGAAAACUGAGGGCCAGAGAGGCCAAAAAGUCAUGAAGGAAGGAAGUGAUAGAACUGAGAUUUGAAUCUGGUUCUUCUCACUUUAGAGCCAGUCAUGCUCUUCCUAUUGGAAAACACCAUCUUCCUUUGUGCUUUAGAUGGGAAGACUAUGGACCAAGGAAGAGUGUGUUCUGAAGACUUUGCCCACUGAACUGUGGGAAAGACAACUUUUCUUUUAGACUCAAUUGUGGCUCAUGGCUUCCACAUGCUUCUUUUUUCCAGGCAUGGGGAGACUCUGAGCUCCAGAAAGUUCUAGGAAGUGCUUUUUAAAUGUGCAUAACAUAUUAAAAUGUUUCUGCUUCAAUGUGGUCUCUCUCUCCCAUGGACCUCCCCUUUACUACCUCAGCUGACAUUACCCUGGAGACAUUAUGAUGAGGCUAAAGGAGUUCCCUAAUCACAGCAGCCAAUCAUAUAUAAGGGGAGAGUCAUUUAGAUCUAGCUGCUUUGGAGUUGCAAGUUUGUGGGGACUGGUGGGGAAAACCUGGGAUAGUGGAAGAAGUAUUUCUUUCAACAAGGAUUUCACCACUAGGGAAUGAAAUAGAGAUGGCAAAGUUCAGUGACUAUGUAUGGGGCUUCAGGUCUAACAGUGACGCUUCAACUCAGGAGAAAAAUGAGAAAAAACUUAGAAGACAUCGGAGGAGAAAGAUAGGAAGGCAAGCAUGAAUCUUAGAAUCCCUAAGAAGCCACACAAUUCCAAAAUGAUAGAAUCUGCUCUUCUUCACAUGCUGUUUUCCUCAGGUAUCUGCAAAGAGCCACAAACAACUCUGAUCAUUUGCAGCUAUCUACCCUACCAGUACCUCUAAAUAAACUUGCCUUUCCUUUCCUUCGUU